Molecule: long non-coding RNA, 548 nt
Filed under: Mus spicilegus (steppe mouse)
Lineage: Eukaryota; Metazoa; Chordata; Mammalia; Rodentia; Muridae
Description: lncRNA (ENSMSIG00000020101.1)
Source: RNAcentral
CUCCUGCCUCCUAGGCUGCACUACAGCGGAUCAGAGGGAUCCUCUCUAACGCUAACAGAGAAAAGCUGACCCCUCCUUCUCUCCUCCUCCUCCUAAGCUGUGAGUCUGUGGGCCUGGCCAGAUUGCUGGAAUGAGGAGGCCCCUCUGUGGCCUGCAAUGGAGUUUACCCACCUGGGAAAAUUCACUUAUAUUUCCUCUGGACAUCAGUCACGGGGACCACAAGAGGCUGAGCAUCGCAAAUAAGGAAGUGGAAUCCCAGAAUCCGUGCCAGAGUGCAGGCAGGUCACUGGGGUAGGCAGGCGGCUGGGUGAGUCACAGGAGGGAUAUAAAACUGACUUCCCUUUGUGGGUGCCUUCAUUCACGUCUUCGCCAGACAGGAAAGGGGGGAGGAAAAAACUCUGAGAAGGAAAUCCUUAAGGACGGAAUAUACUCACGCUUCAAAAUGAAUGACUAGAGCCAACAUAAAGCCUCAGGUGGCUCUCUUGCAAUCUACCUUUGCCAUACGUGACGAACCAGAUGUCAGCCAGAUGUGUCAGAUCACACCCACU